RNAcentral lists this ribosomal RNA (397 nucleotides) under uncultured bacterium. RNAcentral describes it as "partial 16S ribosomal RNA". It matches the Rfam family "Bacterial small subunit ribosomal RNA", at positions 523 to 918 of the family's 1533-position model. The record is from RNAcentral.
AUACGUUGGGGGCGAGCGUUGUCCGGAAUGAUUGGGCGUAAAGGGCGCGUAGGCGGCCCGGUAAGUCUGGAGUGAAAGUCCUGUUUUUAAGAUGGGAAUUGCUUUGGAUACUGUCGGGCUUGAGUGCAGGAGAGGUAAGUGGAAUUCCCAGUGUAGCGGGGAAAUGCGUAGAGAUUGGGAGGAACACCAGUGGCGAAGGCGACUUACUGGACUGUAACUGACGCUGAGGCGCGAAAGUGUGGGGAGCAAACAGGAUUAGAUACCCUGGUAGUCCACACUGUAAACGAUGAAUGCUAGGUGUAGGGGGUAUCGACCCCUUCUGUGCCGCAGUCAACACAAUAAGCAUUCCGCCUGGGGAGUACGUUCGCAAGAAUGAAACUCAAAGGAAUUGACGGGG